GGAAAGUUGAAAAGUACUUUGAAGAGAGAGUAAACAGUGCGUGAAACCGCUCAGAGGUAAACGGGUGGAGUUGAACUGCUUGUUCUGUGAAUUCAGCUGGUGACUGUAUUAUGAUCUUGGUUAUAUUGAUUGGACAGCGGGGUCUGUGUAGCAGCAGGUCUUUGCCUUCGGGUGAGGAUGCGCGAUUUACUUAUCAAGUAAUGUGCGCCUCGUUUGUUCUUCGAAUCGGUUGCCAGUGCACUUUCUCAGAGCGCUCAUCACGACCGGCACUGCUGUCUGGCUGUUGUGGUUAAACCGAUUUGGCAUAGUUCUUGUAGCUUUGUCGAAUCGGGAUGGCAGGUAGCUCGUUGGCUUGCUUGUGGUUCGCUGCAGGUGUUUGGCUUUCGGGUGUAAUCAGCUGACCAUGAUGGUUCUGUACAGUGUGUCGGAGACAGCGGCUUGUGGUGUGUGCAUGUGUGGUGGUUUGCAGGCAUCUCUGGGUUUGGUUGCCUUGUUCGCUUGUCAAAGCAAGCCUGGCAAUAGCCUUGAGACGUUCUGUGGACUGCUGCAUGUGUGACAUCUUCACAGGGCCGACAGUCUGUGAUGUUGUGGUAGACUAUCCACCUGACCCGUCUUG
RNAcentral lists this ribosomal RNA (616 nucleotides) under Lasiotocus trachinoti. Its description in RNAcentral is "partial large subunit ribosomal RNA". Lineage: Eukaryota; Metazoa; Platyhelminthes; Trematoda; Plagiorchiida; Monorchiidae. The record is from RNAcentral.